ACAAUGCGGAACAAUGUUUUGCAAUUGGAUUGAGAACAACGUACAAACCUUAUCGAUAAACAAUUGGAGGGCAAGUCUGGUGCCAGCAGCCGCGGUAAUUCCAGCUCCAAUAGCGUAUAUUAACGUUGUUGCAGUUAAAAAGCUCGUAGUUGAAAUGAAGGGUAGUUGUGUAAUGAAUACAUUCGUGUAUUUUGUUAUUCUACUACCCUCCUUCUAAAUUCGAUAUAUGAGUAUUAAUUUACUUGUAUAUGGUUUUAGACUUUUACUGUGAGAAAAUUAGAGUGUUCAAAGCAGGCAUUUGCUUGAAUAUAUUAGCAUGGAAUAAUCAUGUAUGAUUUUCAUGAUGUAUUUGAUUGGUUUGGUUCAUGAGAAUAAGAUUAAAAGGGACAGUUGGGGGUAUUCAUAUUCAAUAGUCAGAGGUGAAAUUCUCGGAUUUAUGGAAGAUGAACAAGUGCGAAAGCAUUUACCAAGGAUGUUUUCAUUAAUCAAGAACGAAAGUUAGGGGAUCGAAGAGGAU
Molecule: ribosomal RNA, 517 nt
Filed under: Blastocystis hominis
Lineage: Eukaryota; Bigyra; Opalinata; Blastocystidae
Description: SSU rRNA
Rfam family: Eukaryotic small subunit ribosomal RNA
Source: RNAcentral